GGAUGAACGCUGGCGGCGUGCCUACUCCAUGCAAGUCGAGCGAACGGCCGAGAAGCUUGCUUCUCUGAUGUUAGCGGCGGACGGGUGAGUAACACGUGGAUAACCUACCUAUAAGACUGGGAUAACUUCGGGAAACCGUAGCUAAUACCGGAUAAUAUUUUGAACCGCAUGGUUCAAAAGUGAAAGACGGUCUUGCUGUCACUUAUAGAUGGAUCCGCGCUGCAUUAGCUAGUUGGUAAGGUAACGGCUUACCAAGGCAACGAUGCAUAGCCGACCUGAGAGGGUGAUCGGCCACACUGGAACUGAGACACGGUCCAGACUCCUACGGGAGGCAGCAGUAGGGAAUCUUCCGCAAUGGGCGAAAGCCUGACGGAGCAACGCCGCGUGAGUGAUGAAGGUCUUCGGAUCGUAAAACUCUGUUAUUAGGGAAGAACAUAUGUGUAAGUAACUGUGCACAUCUUGACGGUACCUAAUCAGAAAGCCACGGCUAACUACGUG
Molecule: ribosomal RNA, 498 nt
Filed under: uncultured bacterium
Lineage: Bacteria
Description: partial 16S ribosomal RNA
Rfam family: Bacterial small subunit ribosomal RNA
Source: RNAcentral